ACUUGGAAACCACUUUCAUUGUGUUAUCAGAAAAACUACUUUAAUUUGUUUCCAGCUGUGAGUUGGUGCAGCAUCCCAUAAUGAAAUCAAGGAGAAGCAGCAUUCACUUUUGCUCUAUAUUUCUACAGCGUCAGAGUACAGCUGAUGAAUCACAUAUCCAUCCAUGCUUGCUUACAGCAGGGAAGCAGCAGUAUUCUUUGUUAAAAGGUAUUUUGUGGCAGCAUUGGGAGCAGCUGCAACCACUCUGGAAAUGACAACUAUCAGUGAAACAGUGCACACGUACGUCAAGUUAAGAUCUGUUUACAGGAACCACAACCGGAAGAGCAAUGUUAAUACAGCCAAUCUGGCCCCACACUCUUGGAAGAAACCUGAAGGAGAGGAGAAGACCUUUUAAUGAGACACCAUGGUGCUUCCACUACUCAAGACCAGAUGAGGCAGAUUGCUCUUAUUCCCAGAAUCCCCGUUACCUCCCACUGCUGACUGCACAUCCUGUGUGUGCUUGGCUGACAGGAGAAAAUGACAGGUUGAAAAUCUAUACCUAUGGCUAGAAAUGAGAAAUGCCUCAUCUUCCUUAACCCAAACCUAGGGUAGAAAAUAAUCAACCCCCUCCAGUUUUCA
RNAcentral lists this long non-coding RNA (618 nucleotides) under Homo sapiens (human). Its description in RNAcentral is "HSALNT0081525". Lineage: Eukaryota; Metazoa; Chordata; Mammalia; Primates; Hominidae. The record is from RNAcentral.